CAACCUGCCCAGGGGACGUGGAUAACCUCGGGAAACUGAGAUUAAACCGCGAUAGGUCAAGAUUUCUGGAAUGGAUCCUGGCUUAAAUCUACAUGGCCCCUGGAUUGGACUGCGGCCGAUCAGGCUGUUGGUGAGGUAAUGGCCCACCAAACCUAUAACCGGUACGGGCUCUGAGAGGAGAAGCCCGGAGAUGGGCACUGAGACAAGGGCCCAGGCCCUAUGGGGCGCAGCAGGCGCGAAAACUCUGCAAUGGGCGAAAGCCUGACAGGGUUACUCUGAGUGAUUUCCGCUAAGGAGAUCUUUUGGCAGCUCUAAAAAUGGUGCAGAAUAAGGGGUGGGCAAGUCUGGUGUCGGCCGCCGCGGUAAUACCAGCACCCCGAGUGGUCGGGACGAUUAUUGGGCCUAAAGCAUCCGUAGCCGGUUGUGCAAGUCCUCCGUUAAAUCCAGCCGCUCAACGGAUGGGCUGCGGAGGAUACUACAGAACUAGGAGGCGGGAGAGGCAAGCGGUACUUAGUGGGUAGGGGUAAAAUCCUUUGAUCCAUUGAAGA
Molecule: ribosomal RNA, 548 nt
Filed under: uncultured archaeon
Lineage: Archaea
Description: bacterial SSU rRNA
Rfam family: Archaeal small subunit ribosomal RNA
Source: RNAcentral